AUUGAACGCUGGCGGCAGGCCUAACACAUGCAAGUCGAACGAUUGGCGGACGGGUGAGUAAUGUCUGGGAAACUGCCUGAUGGAGGGGGAUAACUACUGGAAACGGUAGCUAAUACCGCAUACCAUCGGAUGUGCCCCGAUGGGAUUAGCUAGUAGGUGGGGUAAAGGCUCACCUAGGGGACGGUCCCUGGCUGGUCUGAGAGGAUGACCAGGCAGAAUGGAACUGAGACACGGGCCAGACGCCUACGGGAGGCGGCAGUGGGGAAUAGUGCACAAUGGGGGCAAGCCUGAUGGAGCCAUGCCGCGUGUAUGAAGAAGGCCUUCGGGUUGUAGAGUACUUUCAGCGGGGAGGCGUUACCCGCAGAAGAAGCACCGGCUAACUCCGUGCCAGCAGCCGCGGUAAUAC
Molecule: ribosomal RNA, 406 nt
Filed under: uncultured bacterium
Lineage: Bacteria
Description: partial 16S ribosomal RNA
Rfam family: Bacterial small subunit ribosomal RNA
Source: RNAcentral